This 293-nucleotide unclassified non-coding RNA is filed under the name air metagenome. RNAcentral's name for it is "partial contains small subunit ribosomal RNA, internal transcribed spacer 1, and 5.8S ribosomal RNA". The stretch from base 1 to 46 matches the Rfam family "Eukaryotic small subunit ribosomal RNA", at positions 1786 to 1831 of the family's 1831-position model. The record is from RNAcentral.
AAGUCGUAACAAGGUUUCCGUAGGUGAACCUGCGGAAGGAUCAUUAAAGAGUUAGGGUCCCACUCGGGCCCGAACCUCCAACCCUUUGUUGUCGAACAAAAAUCUGUUGCUUUGGCGGGACCGCCCCUGCCUCCCCCCCUUCACCGGGAGGGUGGCCGCGGGCUGUCGGGCCCCUCACCGGGCCGGGCAUGCGCCCGCCAGAGUCAAACUCCAACUCUUCUCUUUAAACAGUACAGUCUGAGUUAAACUUGAUAAAUAAAUCAAAACUUUCAACAACGGAUCUCUUGGUUCUG